Molecule: transfer-messenger RNA, 289 nt
Filed under: Synechococcus sp. HK05
Lineage: Bacteria; Bacillati; Cyanobacteriota; Cyanophyceae; Synechococcales; Synechococcaceae
Rfam family: Cyanobacteria transfer-messenger RNA
About the family: Bacterial tmRNA, also known as 10Sa RNA or SsrA, is named for its dual tRNA and mRNA-like properties.
Source: RNAcentral
CUGCCACAAUGCAGGAGUCCGGUUUCGGCCGGACUAGGUGGCUCACACCAGUGCUUCGGACAGCGGUUCGAUUCCGCUCAGCUCCAUUCCCCCAUCUCGGGGCUGCAAUGGUUUCGACGGGGCAUAAGGAGGGUGACUGAAGCCUGCUCGGUCAGAGCAAACACGUAACAGCGAACAACAUCGUUCGUUUCUCCCGUCAGACCGCCCCUGUGGCCGCCUGACCCUAUUAAGGGAGAUGGGGUGAGAUCAGCCUUAUCAACCAAAUGAUCCAUGGGGGCUGGAAGGCCCC